This 492-nucleotide ribosomal RNA is filed under the name uncultured bacterium. Its description in RNAcentral is "partial 16S ribosomal RNA". It matches the Rfam family "Bacterial small subunit ribosomal RNA", at positions 29 to 507 of the family's 1533-position model. The record is from RNAcentral.
AGUGAACGCUGGCGGUAGGCCUAACACAUGCAAGUCGAACGGCAGCACCGUAAGAUCUUGCUCUUACGGGUGGCGAGUCGCGGACGGGUGAGGAAUACAUCGUACCCUACUUUUUCGUGGGGGUUAACGUAGGGAAACUUACUCUAAUACCGCAUACGCCCUACGGUUGAAAGCAGUGGAUCUUCGCACCUUGCGCGAUUGGAUGAGCCGCUUUCGGAUUUGCUGGUUGGGGGGGUAAUGGCCCACCGAGGCGAGGAUCCGUAGCUGGUCUGAGAGGACGGUCGGCCACACGGGAACUGAGACACGGUCCAGAGGCCUACGGGAGGGAGCAGUGGGGAAUGUUGGACAAUGGGCGGAAGCAUGAUCCAGCCAUACCGCGUGGGUGAAGAAGGCCUUCGGGUUGUAAAGCCCGUUUGUUGGGAAAGAAAAGCAGCAGGUUAAGACCCCGCUGUUGUGACGGUACCCAAAGAAUAAGCACCGGCUAACUUCGUG